GUCACACCAUAACCGUUUCCUCGUCUGGGAGCUUGUACACCUAUGGGUGGAGCAAGUAUGGCCAACUAGGGCAUGGGAAUUUUGAGGAUCAACUUGUUCCAUAUCAAGUGGAAGCCCUGAAAGAUAGCUACAUCUCACAGAUAUCAGGUGGAUGGAGGCACAGUAUGGCACUAACAUCUGAUGGAAAACUUUAUAGCUGGGGAUGGAA
RNAcentral lists this unclassified non-coding RNA (208 nucleotides) under Hevea brasiliensis (rubber tree). The record is from RNAcentral. Lineage: Eukaryota; Viridiplantae; Streptophyta; Magnoliopsida; Malpighiales; Euphorbiaceae.